Molecule: ribosomal RNA, 229 nt
Filed under: uncultured bacterium
Lineage: Bacteria
Description: partial 16S ribosomal RNA
Rfam family: Bacterial small subunit ribosomal RNA
Source: RNAcentral
UGCGCAGGCGGGUUUGUAAGUCAGUGGUGAAAUCCUGCCGCUUAACGGUAGAAUUGCCAUUGAUACUGCGAAUCUUGAGUAUGGUUGAGGUAGGCGGAAUGUGUAGUGUAGCGGUGAAAUGCAUAGAUAUUACACAGAACUCCGAUUGCGGAGGCAGCUUACUAAGCCAUAACUGACGCUGAGGCACGAAAGCGUGGGGAGCGAACAGGAUUAGAUACCCUGGUAGUCC